GCGGGUAUAGUACAAUGGUUCGUACGCUUGCCUUCCAAGCAAGAUAUGGGGGUCCGAUUCCCCCUACCCGCU
This 72-nucleotide transfer RNA is filed under the name Candidatus Portnoybacteria bacterium RIFCSPLOWO2_02_FULL_39_11. RNAcentral describes it as "tRNA-Gly". It matches the Rfam family "tRNA". Rfam says of the family: Transfer RNA (tRNA) molecules are approximately 80 nucleotides in length. Their secondary structure includes four short double-helical elements and three loops (D, anti-codon, and T loops). Further hydrogen bonds mediate the characteristic L-shaped molecular structure. tRNAs have two regions of fundamental functional importance: the anti-codon, which is responsible for specific mRNA codon recognition, and the 3' end, to which the tRNAs corresponding amino acid is attached (by aminoacyl-tRNA synthetases). tRNAs cope with the degeneracy of the genetic code in two manners: having more than one tRNA (with a specific anti-codon) for a particular amino acid; and 'wobble' base-pairing, i.e. permitting non-standard base-pairing at the 3rd anti-codon position. The record is from RNAcentral. Lineage: Bacteria; Candidatus Portnoyibacteriota.